UACGUAGGGGGCUAGCGUUGUCCGGAAUCAUUGGGCGUAAAGCGCGUGUAGGCGGCCCGGUAAGUCCGCUGUGAAAGUCGGGGGCUCAACCCUCGGAUGCCGGUGGAUACUGUCGGGCUCGAGUACGGAAGAGGCGAGUGGAAUUCCUGGUGUAGCGGUGAAAUGCGCAGAUAUCAGAAGGAACACCAAUGGCGAAGGCAGCACUCUGGGACGUGACUGACGCUGAGACGCGAAAGCGUGGGGAGCAAACAGG
Molecule: ribosomal RNA, 253 nt
Filed under: uncultured bacterium
Lineage: Bacteria
Description: partial 16S ribosomal RNA
Rfam family: Bacterial small subunit ribosomal RNA
Source: RNAcentral